AAAUAGUACAAUGGAUGUCCCAGGAAACCAGUCUAUGCCUUUCACGUACACUGACCUGGAUCAAGUUAUUAAAAAAAAAAAAAAAAAAUCAGCCCCUCCAGCCCAAAAGGAAGUUUGCCUACAUUCUAUACACCAAGAGGCUCCUAUGUCCAACCAAUCACCAGCAUCCGGAGGCUUUCUCCUGCAAAGGUACUUAAGCGUCAGAAGAAGGAAGUCUUUUCAAAGGUGGAAGCUAACGUUUCACGCGGAACAUCCCACUUGCUGGGAAAGAGCUCAGCGGUUUUAUGUCAGAGGGCAGCAGGGGGUGAACCCCACACCCAUUGCAGCCUGAUGGAGGCCUCUGGCUCUGACACCCCGAGGCCCAGAACUGGCUGAGGAUCUGGGAAGCCAUCUGACCUCUCGGUUUGGGUCCCCACCUCGUCACAUGAAAAUCGGAUUCUUAAGACUCUUCCCUUGACCAGUGGAAACUUUGGAGGUGAAAGAGUUACAGAAAGAAAAUGGUUAUUAAGAAGAUGCCAACACCUCCCCCACUGCCAGUUUGGGCAGUUUGGGAACCAUAAUGGGCUAAGUUCAAUCAGAAGUUCUGAAAGUGGGGUUCCAGAAUCAGCAGCCUUAGCAUCACCUGGGAGCUUGUGAGAACUAUCAGUUCGCAGGCUCCACCUGAGAAUUCAGGGCCUAGUGAAUCAGAACUUCUAGAAGUGGUUUAAGUGCCCUCCAGGUAAUUAUGAUGGCCCACGGUUUGAGAAUCACUGGGGCAAAUAGUCGUCCUAAUUUAUUAUGGGCGCUGACGGCAACCUGGGGCAUCUGAGUUCUCUGGGCCCUGAUUUAGACUGCAAAUCUUGCACUUUCAAAAAGCAAGUCAGACUGCUGAGUUGCUUAGGUUUUUAUUGCAAAUUCUUCAGCAUUGGGAACAAAAUUCUUCAGUUUUCAGAGGGCUGCUCAGGCAGUGCAAACCCAAGCAUUCUGAAAGGAGCCCAUGGCCAUGAUUCUUCCUGGAAGGUCGGUAGUACUCAUGCAAGUCUGCCGUGGGGGCAGAGCAGCAGCCAAGAGGGAGGAAGAGGUGAGGCCCCCGAAAGUCCCUUGCUAGGAAAGGAAGCAUAAACAUCACCGAACUACCCAUCUCCUGGUCUGAUACAAGAUACAACUAUGGAAAGCUGUCAUUUGAGGAGAGUUCCCUCUGUGGGAAAAGGUUCUUCAAACGCGGAAAAGACCAGAAGCAACAAUGGAAGAAGACAAGCUGCAUUUGCAGAGCAGCUACUGGAUGCUUUCACCUGCAUAAUUAAACACAUUUUGUUGAUUAAAAAAACCCCAAGUCUCUGAGAGGUUAAGGAACUUGUCUGACGACCCACAGCUGGUGGUGGUGUCUCUGGGAUUCUCACUUUUCCAUUGACCAUAACAUGCAUCUGGUCUAAAUUGAGCAGACCACCCAAGAGGACUGUGGAGUAAAGAGAAGUGGGAAGGGGGCGGGGGGUGGGGGGAGAGGAAUGGGCAUAGAAUUAAAAGGUAGAAUCUCUACAGGGAUCAAAGGACGAAGCUGAAAGAGCACGAAAAUAUGCAUCAUUUUUUUAUAUGUUGCCUGAUGCCCAAAAUUAGGAUGCCUUUGUGGUAUCAACUUUGACAUUUAAAGAAAGGGCAUAAGAUUAGACCAUCCAACCAUAAGUGGAAGGAAGAAACAAAAUGAAAUAAAACCUUAGAAUUCUCUUUGAAGUCGAUCAAGUGUCAGGGCAGAAACUUGGUCUCAGGAUGGUGGCUUCUUUUACAGACUCUCUUUGUCCUUGUCCAGAACAAUUUUUCACUGUGGGUCUGGAGAGUGGCUUACAAUAAACUCACUGCAGAGCCCCAACGGGGCCCACCCCACGUAAACCCUCCCCCGUUUCUGCAGAUUAUUGAAGACGAUUGGAUAAAAAGGUUUGUUUUAUGAUCUCUGAUGGUUGUGUCCCCAGGACGAUAGAGUUUUGAGGCCGUUUACCAAUAUAGAGUUUUGAGGCUGUUUACCAAUAUAGUUUUGAGGCCGUUUAUCACUGAACUGGCAGUAACUUGAGGCCCAGCGGUAAGCCUGCUAAAUGGGUUCAGCAAAGUUUUUGGUUCAACCUUGAAGGAACAGUUUACGUUGGAGGAACCCACCAGGCCUGGGUAGGAACACAGUUCCAGCACAGGCCCGGAGGCUGGCACUCCUGACUGCACAACCAACAGCUUGUUAUUAUUACUGUUACUGUUUUAACCUCUUGAUCAUGCAGCCCUACAAAGUCAGGGUGACAAAAGAGCUGGGUUUCUGUUUCUAGCUUAGCUCUAAAGCGAUGAGGACUGAGAUGUUCUUCCCAGGUUCUCAAUGAGCAGAAUGGAGUCCCCGCCCCCCCCUUCCCCCCCCCCCCAGCAUUUAACUAUUGAAAAAAUACAUGUGUUGCUGAUUCUCCCCCUGAUCCUGGGAAAUAUUUGAAACAGUGCAUAAAAGUAGAAAGAACCAAAAAAAAAAAAAAGCGCAAUAUUUAUUUUUAAACGCUCAGAGGCAACCAUGUUAAUAUUUUGAUGUGUUUUUGUAUUUCCCCCAACUUUUUCCUCUGUCGACAAUAAUCUGCUUUCCAUGGUCAUGGUUAUGUUCCAUACAGGACAGUAGCACUGUUUCUAAGUGACACAAGAGAGUAGGAAGUUUCAGCCUUCCAAAUGCAUCCAAGUUAGUUUUGGGGUCAAGUGACAGCCUUACGGGAAUAUAUCUGCCAGGCCCUGAGGUUCUGUAGGAGUCUUCUAGCAUCCAGCAGGGAGCGAGGUCCACAGUUGCAGCAGAGUAAAUGUUUGCUGAGCAGAACUGCCUACAGCAUUGGCCGUGAUGAAUCCUAGCCUGACCCAGUAUCCUGUAUGACCCGAGAAGAGAGGGGGAAAAAAGAUGGCCCUACAGUGGACGGCUUCUCCCAGCUACAGGAAAGGAGCCUCCAGUGACGACGAAAGAAAGGGUUAAAGUUGGCGGUCCAGCGCCAAGACUGGAUGCACCGACCACAGGAAGGUCAGGCUUUCAAGGUCUUACUUGGGGGGUAAGAACAACAAAAAUACCAUUUGUCCUUACCAGUGCUUUGAACGCAGUCACCAUAGGUCCCUCCAGUGGAAACACAACUUUGAGAGUUAUGCUUUUCCUCUGCCUUUGAUGUAAAUUAUAGAGUCCUUUUGAUCCCUUUGUUGUGAUUAAUCCUACCAGCAAAGCAACUCUAAAUUGGUUAAAAGUUCAUUAGUGUGCAACAAUAGGAGCUUGAUUAAAUAAAUUAUGGUACAUCCAUACCAUGAAUACUAGGCAGCCAAUAACAAUCAUGCCGUCUUAGACUGCCUAAUCACACAGAGAAAGGCUUACAAUGUAUAGUGAAGAGGAGGGGCAAAAAAGCAGUUUCUAGAACAGUACUCACACAAUAAUUGUGUUAGACAAGAAUUAUAAGUGAUUUUUAUUUUUAUACCCUGUCAGGUUUUCUGUUAGGAAAAUGUUACCUUGAGUAAAUAUUACUUUUUAAAACAUGCUCUAAAAAACCAAGUCUUUGAAUUGUCCAAAAAGAGAAAAAAGGAGAAACAAAAGGACAAGAAAAGGGGGCCUGUUGUUUUCAAGGAUUCCAGAGUUGUGAUGAAGACUGAGGCUUCCCCUCAUUUCUAGGCAUCUGGUGGCAUUUCUAGGCAGAGAAGGAAGCACAAGGCAGGUCCCUGGGCCUUCCGCAAGCAGGCACAAGAGCACAGGUACCUCGUGCUGAAAGCACCUGACCCCACCUGGGGAGGGGAUGGAAGGCUUAUCAGAGGUGAGGGCUCCGAGCGGCCCAGGCAGACAGGAGGGGAAUGGCUUCCAGGGUAGAGGCCCAGAGAGAUCAAAGAUUGAAUACAUCAUACCCUGAAGUUCCAUUUCUAAGGCUUCAUCUCAUGGAAGGAGUCACAGCUUUGUACAAAGAUUGAUCUGAAUGGUUAGCUUGAAGGGCUCAGAGUAGCAAAAAUUAAAAACAGCUUCUAUGGUAAACAUUUAGAGGAUUCAUUAAACUAGGAGCCCCCCCGCGCCCCAUCCCAUUAAGCGUACUUCAUCUGGACGGACGUGGAUGGGAUGUAGUGAGUUCAAGGGAGGCCCUGGCCGUGUCUGGGAUCGGGGCCAUUUCCACCUGAGCCCACCUUAUGCUGUGGCAUGUGCAUAGACAUCCUUAAGGAGCAGCAGCUCUCCUUUCAAGACCCGGACAUAGCAUGAACAUGAACAAACUGGGUUUAGCUACAGGCUCAGCAGCUGGGCCAGCUUUUCAUGGCUUCCACAGAGAGCUCCCACAUCCCACAGAAGGCCCUCCUGGGCACUGACCACGGUCCAAGAAUGCUCCAAUUUACCGGGAACAGCCUGUCUGUGCUGCACGCCCCUGCUCUCUGUGGCUUUUCUCCAGGGCCAGCCCUAUCUUGAACUCGAGAGAUGAGUGGAAAGCCACCAUCAUUUGCCCUCACAGGUUGUCUUCUCCACAGGGCUGCGAGAAGACCCCAGCCCCAGAGGCCCGCGCGGCAUCUGCUCCCAUCCCAGUGGCCCGAAGGACACAUGGGCUGCAAGUGGUUUGACAGCUGCUCCAGGAAUGAGGUCAUCACAGCGAAGAUUGCAUAACUGAUGCAGAGGCCUAUCUUGUGUUAUACUGGGAGACAGGCCAACGUUUCCAUUUAUAGACAAGAGCACUACCGCGCUGCCAAAUGGAGCUCUCUGCUGCAAGCACUACAAGACGGGAGGAAGGGAAGGAAGGCUCCGAGCGUGAGGGCGAGCUGUGAACAGAGGCGGGCGCCCUCCCCGUCCGCUGGGCCGCCUUGGAGGGGGGCUGGCUGCCUGCGAAGAGCCACUUCUACAAAGCUGUGUGCGCUCGGCCCUUGGUUCUCGGGCGCUCGGGCUCCCCUGGCACCAGGAGACGCUGCCAGGGGGAGGGUCUGGUCUGUCCGGUCAGCCUGUUCGGCAGGUUUUCAGACUGCUGAGCCUGUGUGCGGGCAAGCCAGGUGUGAGCACCCCGAGGCCCCGACGGGGGGGGGGGGCUGGCCUCGCCGCACUCCGGAGGGCCGAAGCCAGGCCAGCCGUCGUGGCACUGGAGGAGGCCAGGACUCCGGGGAGGGCAUGAGAAAGUAGGAAAGAAGGAGCAGCAUGUCGAAAUCUGGGUUGGUGCAUCACUUAUUUAGAGAUUUUGGCUGAGAACCAGGUUCUCAGAGGAAGCAAGUCUAGAAGAGGGGCUCCCACAGGGCCAGGGAGGGCUUCUGGGCGGCAGGGAGGCCCUGGACCUUACGUCCUCAGUGGUGGUCGGGUUUAGAUUGUUAGAUACAUUCUGCACACGGGGUUUUAGGGAGGGUCACUGAGAAACCCUGACAGAUCUGAAAGAUACCUUCUAUUUUAUGUUGUUGUUUUUUUUAAAGAUUUAUUUAUUCAUGAGAAACGCAGAGGGCGGGGGGCAGAGACACAGGCAGAGGGAGAAGCAGGUUCCGUGCAGGGAGCCCGAUGCGGGGCUCGAUCCCAGGACCCCAGGGUCACACCCCGAGCCGAAGGCAGACGCUCAACCGCUGAGCCACCCAGGGGUCCCUAUUUUAUGGUCUUAAGUUGUACCCUUAAAAUACCAGAUCACGUGGCUCUAAGUCUAUUAUGAAUUACUACUCUUUAUCAGUCCCAUGCUUAUCUCGUGAAUGGUGUAAUAGCACCAUGCUAUCUUUAAAAAUAAAAACAUCAUGUUUUUUUGGGA
Canis lupus familiaris (dog) is the source of this 5696-nucleotide long non-coding RNA. RefSeq lists it as uncharacterized. Lineage: Eukaryota; Metazoa; Chordata; Mammalia; Carnivora; Canidae. The transcript has 2 exons. The record is from RefSeq and is a predicted model, not a curated record.